UAUGUAAAUGUAGCACUCAGCUCUGGCAGGUUUGAACACCGGCGGGCUUCCCUACUGCGUCCCAGGUGGCUGCUAGUGGUAAAGAACCCACCUGCCAAAUGCAGGAGACUUGAGAUUCACGGGUUCAAUCCCUGGCUGGGGAAGAUCCCCUGGAGGAAGAAAUGACAACCCGCUCUAGGACUCUUGAGUGGACAUGAUUGAAGUGACUUCGCACACAUGCAUACAGGGAGGAGCGAGCAAAUCCCACCAAGAGAGGCCAGGAGGGCUUACUCUACAGAAAUAAGUCUUCUCACGGAAUCGGAAGUCCUGACAUCGAGGUUCCUUGCUAGCAUGAGGAUGAGAAAGGCGAAUCCAAGCGUGGGGGCAUUAUCGAAAACCAUGGAAAUCUUGGUGGCGAGCCAUUAAGAGGCUGGCACCCCCUUGAGAACCACAGGUGGACUUUAAGGAUCUGUUUUGGAAGGCACAAAGAGAACCACGACUGUUUCUUUCUCUCUGCCUUCCUAUUAUCACAAUUCUAAUCCUCCUGAAGGGACAGCUCUGACACUCAUCAGGAAAUGGUCGCACACUAUAAAGAGAAGAAAAGAAGAACACAGAGAUCGACAUUUCCAGCUACCAUCACAGCAUGUUCACUCCCUUAUUUAAUUUCCCUUUUUCUUAAGCCCCUUCUGUUGAGAGAAGACUCCUUUACUGAUAUUCCUCCCAAUAAUAUUUAUGAGCUUAGGAAGGCACCAGUGGUUCUCUCCAAAGUACAAGAGAAAUGACCAGAGUCAUGGGGAUUAUUUAGGACCCUUGAGGUUCUCAGCCUCAGACUGCUACUACAAGGAUCCCUGAAAAGAAAAUAGAGACAUUUUUACUAGCAUCUAAGGAAUUGGGCCUCACCCAUAAUCUAUCUUAUUUAUCUAUGCAGUGACCCAAGGUGAGCACAGUUACUCCUGGGAGCCUGCCCACACAUGGAUCAAUCCAAAGUGUCCUGCCUCGCAAGCUUAGGGUUUAAAUCAAGCCACUUCCCCCAGAAUAUGCAACCUGAACGACUGUACCCUCCAUUUACUACCAUGAGAACGUCUUCUUGUGAUGAGCCCAAAACCCUGUGGACUUAGCCUUCCCAAAGGGUAUGGCCCCAAGAGAGGAAAUGGAAAACGUGUUCCCUGUUUCACUUACUGUUGCUGUUGCCCUGUGUCGUCUGGACAACAGGUGGUCCAGAAACCUGUUGGAGGGACCGAGGUAGCACGCUGCUCUCACAGGCGUGGCAGUGUUGGUUCAGGCUGCAGGAGCACGGAGCUUUUCCCCACAGACGCUGCAGUCAGCUAGUAACCAGGCCUGAGAGCCCUACAGCAGGCAUGGGCUUGGCACCAUCAUAUGCCAUGAAAGCAAAUGCCAAGAGCGUUCUCCACGCAACUGCAGUAACUUCCCUAC
Molecule: long non-coding RNA, 1413 nt
Organism: Bos taurus (domestic cattle)
Lineage: Eukaryota; Metazoa; Chordata; Mammalia; Artiodactyla; Bovidae
Source: Ensembl